Molecule: microRNA, 23 nt
Filed under: Tribolium castaneum (red flour beetle)
Lineage: Eukaryota; Metazoa; Arthropoda; Insecta; Coleoptera; Tenebrionidae
Description: tca-miR-309c-5p
Gene: tca-miR-309c-5p
Source: miRBase by way of RNAcentral
GGAUAAACCAUACUCAGUUGAUG